UCGAGCGAGUCUGCCUUGAAGAUCGGAGUGCUUGCACUCUGUGAAACAAGAUACAGGCUAGCGGCGGACGGGUGAGUAACACGUGGGUAACCUGCCCAAGAGAUCGGGAUAACACCUGGAAACAGAUGCUAAUACCGGAUAACAACAGAUGAUGCCUAUCAACUGUUUAAAAGAUGGUUCUGCUAUCACUCUUGGAUGGACCUGCGGUGCAUUAGCUAGUUGGUAGGGUAACGGCCUACCAAGGCGAUGAUGCAUAGCCGAGUUGAGAGACUGAUCGGCCACAUUGGGACUGAGACACGGCCCAAACUCCUACGGGAGGCAGCAGUAGGGAAUCUUCCACAAUGGACGCAAGUCUGAUGGAGCAACGCCGCGUGAGUGAAGAAGGGUUUCGGCUCGUAAAGCUCUGUUGUUGGUGAAGAAGGACAGGGGUAGUAACUGACCUUUGUUUGACGGUAAUCAAUUAGAAAGUCACGGCUAACUACGUG
Molecule: ribosomal RNA, 485 nt
Filed under: uncultured Lactobacillus sp.
Lineage: Bacteria; Bacillati; Bacillota; Bacilli; Lactobacillales; Lactobacillaceae
Description: bacterial SSU rRNA
Rfam family: Bacterial small subunit ribosomal RNA
Source: RNAcentral